Molecule: long non-coding RNA, 705 nt
Organism: Hordeum vulgare subsp. vulgare (domesticated barley)
Lineage: Eukaryota; Viridiplantae; Streptophyta; Magnoliopsida; Poales; Poaceae
Exons: 3
Source: RefSeq, a predicted model, not a curated record
GCCCUCCGCCGCGGCGCCGCAGCCGGCCAAAGCCUCCGCUGCCCCGCCGCCGGUACAGUAGCCCAUCAACGCCUCCCUCCGUCGAGCAGCCGCUCCAAACCCAGCAACGCUGCCGCUCGGAGCUACGCGGCCGACCGGUCCAUAGGCAGACGAAUACUGCAUUUCCUAGAUGAAGCACAUCUUCAAGAUCAUCGUGGUGCUGGCGGCGAUCUCGACCAUCUGGGUUGCGCUCCUUGAAACCUCGACUGUUCCUCGCAGUUAUACUUGGCUGGUGACUGCCAUCAAUUCUUUCACUUGCUAAUGUAUUGAUGUUAAGACACUGUCUUUCGAUUAAGAUGCUUGCUUGUGACUUCUGUUGUAGCUUUCAAUCUAGUACUACUUGAUAGUGGCGCUUGGAUGCUACGGCCUUUUUAUGGUUAGGUAUGGGCUCAUGUUCUUUCCCGCUUGUCCUCAAGAAGCCAUACUACUACAAGUCUACAACAGGAUAUUGUGGAGGCAAAGGAAUUCUUAUCCAAAAGGGGUGUUGAUGUGGGCUCCAAUUGAGGUGGAUUCCAAUGUUUUAUGUUUUAUGACCACUUUGAAGCUUCCUGGUUACCAUAGCGAGAAAUGGUUAUGAUGUUUCAUCAUGUCUAUAUAUUGCUACUAACACAAUUUUGGUGAGUGGCUUGUUACAAUUCUACAAUUGAGGUGGAUGGCUUGUCAUGA